UACGUAGGUGACAAGCGUUGUCCGGAUUUACUGGGCGUAAAGAGCGCGCAGGCGGUCGUUCAAGUCGAGUGUGAAAGCCCCCGGCUCAACUGGGGAGGGUCAUUCGAUACUGAUCGACUCGAAGGCAGGAGAGGGUAGUGGAAUUCCCGGUGUAGUGGUGAAAUGCGUAGAUAUCGGGAGGAACACCAGUGGCGAAGGCGACUACCUGGCCUGUUCUUGACGCUGAGGCGCGAAAGCAUGGGGAGCGAACAGG
This 253-nucleotide ribosomal RNA is filed under the name uncultured bacterium. RNAcentral describes it as "partial 16S ribosomal RNA". It matches the Rfam family "Bacterial small subunit ribosomal RNA", at positions 524 to 776 of the family's 1533-position model. The record is from RNAcentral.